ACUGGGAUAACUUCGGGAAACCGAAGCUAAUACCGGAUAGGAUCUUCUCCUUCAUGGGAGAUGAUUGAAAGAUGGUUUCGGCUAUCACUUACAGAUGGGCCCGCGGUGCAUUAGCUAGUUGGUGAGGUAACGGCUCACCAAGGCAACGAUGCAUAGCCGACCUGAGAGGGUGAUCGGCCACACUGGGACUGAGACACGGCCCAGACUCCUACGGGAGGCAGCAGUAGGGAAUCUUCCGCAAUGGACGAAAGUCUGACGGAGCAACGCCGCGUGAGUGAUGAAGGCUUUCGGGUCGUAAAACUCUGUUGUUAGGGAAGAACAAGUACGAGAGUAACUGCUCGUACCUUGACGGUACCUAACCAGAAAGCCACGGCUAACUACGUGCCAGCAGCCGCGGUAAUACGUAGGUGGCAAGCGUUAUCCGGAAUUAUUGGGCGUAAAGCGCGCGCAGGCGGUUUCUUAAGUCUGAUGUGAAAGCCCACGGCUCAACCGUGGAGGGUCAUUGGAAACUGGGGAACUUGAGUGCAGAAGAGAAAAGCGGAAUUCCACGUGUAGCGUUGAAAUGCGUAGAGAUGUGGAGGAACACCAGUGGCGAAGGCGGCUUUUUGGUCUGUAACUGACGCUGAGGCGCGAAAGCGUGGGGAGCAAACAGGGAUUAGAUACCCUGGUAGUCCACGCCGUAAACGAUGAGGGCUAAGUGUUAAAGGGGUUUCCGCCCUUUUAGGUGCUGCAGCUAACGCAUUACGCACUACCGCUCUGGGGGGAGGUACGGGUCGGCAAGAUUGAAAUCUCAAAGGGAAUAGACGGGGGGCCCGCACCAUUCGGGUGGCAGCAUGUGGCUUGAAAAUCCGAAGGCAACCCGGAAGUAUCCUUAGCAGGGUCUGGACAUCUUCUGGACAACUCUAGUAGAUAGAGCGUACCCUCAGGUACAAG
Molecule: ribosomal RNA, 933 nt
Filed under: Bacillus sp. (in: firmicutes)
Lineage: Bacteria; Bacillati; Bacillota; Bacilli; Caryophanales; Bacillaceae
Description: bacterial SSU rRNA
Rfam family: Bacterial small subunit ribosomal RNA
Source: RNAcentral